Clupea harengus (Atlantic herring) is the source of this 933-nucleotide long non-coding RNA. RefSeq lists it as uncharacterized. NCBI's taxonomy places the organism in Eukaryota, Metazoa, Chordata, Actinopteri, Clupeiformes, Clupeidae. The record is from RefSeq and is a predicted model, not a curated record.
AGGCUGGUCUACACUGUAACAAGCCAAUGAGGCGUUAACAACGACAUGUACCAACUUCUUGUAAUUAGACCACACUCUGGCAGUUUAACACACUUCAUACUAGUUAAGCAUACAGACUCCGCCCUGCUUUAUAUCAAAUCAAAUCAAACUUUAUUUAUAGGGCGCAUUUAAUACCAGGAUGUAACACAAUGCGCUUCACAGAAGGAGGGAGGGGACAGAUGAUAGGCGAGAUUAAAGAGGUAACCAGUGCAAUGUCUGGUGUGAUGUGCGCCCUCCUCGAUAUUACGACGCUUCUCCCAAAUCUUCUGGUCUAUGGCACAACCACCCAUCAAGCGCAGCACAAUGAGGGUCAGGACCUUCUUCUGUGCUGCACCCAGGCUUUGGAACUCCCUUCCCCCUCACAUCUGCAUACUGGACUCCAUCACAGAAUUCAAAGCUGCAAGUUUAAAGUCCCUCUCCUAGCAUUGAUUUUUGAUGAAAAAAAAAAUCUGACCUUAAUGACCUGAAAAUGGCUAGGAUGUAGCUCUAUACCUUUGCCUCAUUUAGAAUUUGUGGAUCUGUAAAUACAAUGCAAAUUGGGCCGACCUCUAUCUGCCCUCGGCUUAUGAAACUGCUAAUGAUGUGUUGCUAAUGUUAGAUCAACUCGCCAGCUUUAACUUACCAUCUAGUCCAUCAUAAAUAAUAUUGUACUUUAUGUAUAUGUAUACUGGCGUUACCCCUGUCUCCUGACUGGCAAGUUGAUGGGAUUGAUUCCUUAAGUUUGUGUCAUAAGAAAACCCAGGCUGUCUGAUUUCGUGUUUUUGAGACUGUUAUUGGUACACUGCAGUUUCAAUGUUGAAGUACUCAUCAGAAACAAAAAAUAUUUAUCGUGCAUAGGGCCAAGGUAAUUACAUACUGACCUACUUACUUAUUUACUUUUGCAUGUACAUUUUA